GUCUACGGCCAUGCUAUCCUGAAGAAGCUCAAUCCCUGAUCUCCGGCUAAGCGGAUCGGGCCUGGUUAGUACUUGGAUGGGAGACUACCUAGGAACACCAGGUGUUGUAGGCA
RNAcentral lists this ribosomal RNA (113 nucleotides) under Pteropus alecto (black flying fox). The record is from RNAcentral. Lineage: Eukaryota; Metazoa; Chordata; Mammalia; Chiroptera; Pteropodidae.